CUGUCUAUUAAUAAUAUAUUUAACUUAUUAAAGAGGUGUAAAUACCUCUAUGAUAAUAGAAGACGAGAACAUUUUAGAAAUUUUAUAUAAAGUGUAUUAUAUAUUUAUACUAUCAUUUUGUUGGGGCGACAGAAUAGCAAAUAACCUAUCUCUCAGAAGACAUGAAGUUUUUCUAAAGACAGUAAAAAUUACUCGAGGGCUCCCCCCCUCCUUUUUUUUUUUAUUGUGAGCUCAAUCUCAGACCCCUCCGGGUUUUAUUCAAAUAAAUAGGCCCCCCGUGCUGUUCGAACAAAUAUCCUUACUUGAUCUGAG
Molecule: ribosomal RNA, 312 nt
Filed under: Humboldtiana durangoensis
Lineage: Eukaryota; Metazoa; Mollusca; Gastropoda; Stylommatophora; Humboldtianidae
Description: partial 16S ribosomal RNA
Source: RNAcentral